RNAcentral lists this ribosomal RNA (858 nucleotides) under uncultured bacterium. Its description in RNAcentral is "bacterial SSU rRNA". It matches the Rfam family "Bacterial small subunit ribosomal RNA", at positions 60 to 914 of the family's 1533-position model. The record is from RNAcentral.
AGUCGAACGGCAGCGCGGGGCAACCUGGCGGCGAGUGGCGAACGGGUGAGUAAUAUAUCGGAACGUACCCAAGAGUGGGGGAUAACGUAGCGAAAGUUACGCUAAUACCGCAUACGAUCUAAGGAUGAAGGUGGGGGAUUCGCAAGAACCUCAUGCUCCUGGAGCGGCCGAUAUCUGAUUAGCUAGUUGGUGAGGUAAAGGCUCACCAAGGCGACGAUCAGUAGCUGGUCUGAGAGGACGACCAGCCACACUGGAACUGAGACACGGUCCAGACUCCUACGGGAGGCAGCAGUGGGGAAUUUUGGACAAUGGGCGCAAGCCUGAUCCAGCAAUGCCGCGUGAGUGAAGAAGGCCUUCGGGUUGUAAAGCUCUUUUGUCAGGGAAGAAACGGUGGAGGCUAAUAUCCUUUGCUAAUGACGGUACCUGAAGAAUAAGCACCGGCUAACUACGUGCCAGCAGCCGCGGUAAUACGUAGGGUGCAAGCGUUAAUCGGAAUUACUGGGCGUAAAGCGUGCGCAGGCGGUUUUGUAAGUCUGUCGUGAAAUCCCCGGGCUCAACCUGGGAAUUGCGAUGGAGACUGCAAGGCUAGAAUCUGGCAGAGGGGGGUAGAAUUCCACGUGUAGCAGUGAAAUGCGUAGAGAUGUGGAGGAACACCGAUGGCGAAGGCAGCCCCCUGGGUCAAGAUUGACGCUCAUGCACGAAAGCGUGGGGAGCAAACAGGAUUAGAUACCCUGGUAGUCCACGCCCUAAACGAUGUCUACUAGUUGUCGGGUCUUAAUUGACUUGGUAACGCAGCUAACGCGUGAAGUAGACCGCCUGGGGAGUACGGUCGCAAGAUUAAAACUCAAAGGAAUUGAC